UUGGGGGGCACAGCCUGUGCCAAGGGGCAGCAAGGUGCCUGCAGGCCCCAGCUCAGGGGGAAACAGAGAACGUCCUGGCCGUAUCCAGCGUGCUGCCAGCUCAGCAGCAGAGCACAGCACGGGCUAACACUGCCCAUUGCUCCCACAGAUGGAGCCAGCACCACAACUCAUGUUCCUGAUUCCCAGAAGGUCAUUGAAAGGGCUUUCUGUCAGGGAACACGCUGCUAACUAGAGAUAAUGGCCAUGGUGGGAGGUGGAGAGCUUGUCUUCAUGUUGUGCUGCUUUGGAAUCUGGUGUUCCUGGAGGAGAAAAUGGAGCACUUCUGGACAGCAUUUGAAGGACAGUGGCUGCACUAAACACCCAGACAGCUUGAGCAGCUCCUCUUCAGUAAUGAGGGCCUGGGCAGCUCUCGCAAGAGCUUUGAGAAGAGGACCCCAGAGCAGCCAUCCCAGAACAGGAGGAAUCCUCCUAUAACCCUGUAGAUCCCACGGCCAACUCUUCUCCCCAUGGGUAUCCCCAAGGUCCCUUCAUUCCCUUUUUUGAUCUCCCUCUGCCCCAGCCUAGCCCAUUCCUUAGUUCUUGUAGAGACCCCAAGACCAGCCCAGCACCCUCCAGCCCCACCUGAGACCAACAUGGCCCUUCCUCUGUCCCUGAGCCCCUCUGGCCCUGCCCUGUAAACAACACUGAAGGUGAGCCCAUCUGCCAGUGUAGGUGAUGGCCCCUUCUUCUCUUCAAAUAAAGAGAUGGAGCUGUUA
Non-coding RNA from Cyanistes caeruleus (blue tit), 755 nucleotides. The record is from RefSeq and is a predicted model, not a curated record. Lineage: Eukaryota; Metazoa; Chordata; Aves; Passeriformes; Paridae.